RNAcentral lists this ribosomal RNA (433 nucleotides) under uncultured bacterium. Its description in RNAcentral is "partial 16S ribosomal RNA". It matches the Rfam family "Bacterial small subunit ribosomal RNA", at positions 29 to 507 of the family's 1533-position model. The record is from RNAcentral.
AGCGAACGCUGGCGGCAGGCUUAACACAUGCAAGUCGAGCGGACCUUUCGGGGUCAGCGGCGGACGGGUGAGUAACGCGUGGGAACGUGCCUUCCGGUUCGGAAUAACCCUGGGAAACUAGGGCUAAUACCGGAUACGCCCUUAUGGGGAAAGGUUUACUGCCGGAAGAUCGGCCCGCGUCUGAUUAGCUAGUUGGUGGGGUAACGGCCUACCAAGGCGACGAUCAGUAGCUGGUCUGAGAGGAUGAUCAGCCACACUGGGACUGAGACACGGCCCAGGCUCCUACGGGAGGCAGCAGUGGGGAAUAUUGGACAAUGGGCGCAAGCCUGAUCCAGCCAUGCCGCGUGAGUGAUGAAGGCCUUAGGGUUGUAAAGCUCUUUUAUCCGGGACGAUAAUGACGGUACCGGAGGAAUAAGCCCCGGCUAACUUCGUG